GGCAGAGGCAGGUGGAUCUCUGUGAGUUCCAGGCCAACGAGAUCCAGGACAGGCACCAAAACUACACAGGGAAACCCUGUCUCGAAAAAAGAAAAGAAAAAAGAAAGGAGAAAGAACUUGUCUCAAGUCUCAGCUUGUGGAAGCAGAAGCCUCUAGGAUACACAGUCCCAGUGCUAACCUGGAAGGCGCAUGACCUGACGAAGUGUAUCUCGGUGUUGACAGCCUCCAGGAGCCCCUGCAUUUCCGCCCCUGCCACGGUCUUCAACUGCUCCAUCCAGCGCUGGGCCAGGAAGAGGCUCCACAGAGCCUUGCAGUAUUUCUCCUGCAGACCAAGAGGCCAGUUCAAGCCACAGGGCUGGGGUGCAGGGGGCCCUCCCGACUGUGACUCACGUCCUGAAGGUUGAUGGCCACCGUGACGGGGUAAUCUUUAAGCAGGU
Non-coding RNA from Peromyscus maniculatus bairdii (prairie deer mouse), 437 nucleotides. The record is from RefSeq and is a predicted model, not a curated record. Lineage: Eukaryota; Metazoa; Chordata; Mammalia; Rodentia; Cricetidae.